AUUGAACGCUGGCGGCAUGCUUUACACAUGCAAGUCGAACGGUAACAGGCCGCAAGGUGCUGACGAGUGGCGAACGGGUGAGUAAUGCAUCGGAACGUGCCCAGUCGUGGGGGAUAACUACUCGAAAGAGUAGCUAAUACCGCAUACGAUCUAUGGAUGAAAGCGGGGGACCGUAAGGCCUCGCGCGAUUGGAGCGGCCGAUGUCAGAUUCGGUAGUUGGUGGGGGAAAGGCUCACCAAGCCAACGAUCUGUAGCUGGUCUGAGAGGACGACCAGCCACACUGGGACUGAGACACGGCCCAGACUCCUACGGGAGGCAGCAGUGGGGAAUUUUGGACAAUGGGCGCAAGCCUGAUCCAGCAAUGCCGCGUGCAGGAAGAAGGCCUUCGGGUUGUAAACUGCUUUUGUACGGAACGAAACGGCUCUGGUUAAUACCCGGGGCUAAUGACGGUACCGUAAGAAUAAGCACCGGCUAACUACGUG
This 482-nucleotide ribosomal RNA is filed under the name uncultured bacterium. Its description in RNAcentral is "partial 16S ribosomal RNA". It matches the Rfam family "Bacterial small subunit ribosomal RNA", at positions 30 to 507 of the family's 1533-position model. The record is from RNAcentral.